CCUACGCACUCCUACGGGAGCCAGCAGUGGGGAAUAUUGCACAAUGGGCGCAAGCCUGAUGCAGCCAUGCCGCGUGUAUGAAGAAGGCCUUCGGGUUGUAAAGUACUUUCAGCAGUGAGGAAGGUGGGUAUGUUAAUAGCAUACUCAUUUGACGUUAGCUGCAGAAGAAGCACCGGCUAACUCCGUGCCAGCAGCCGCGGUAAUACGGAGGGUGCGAGCGUUAAUCGGAAUUACUGGGCGUAAAGCGCAUGCAGGUGGUUUGUUAAGUCAGAUGUGAAAGCCCGGGGCUCAACCUCGGAAUUGCAUUUGAAACUGGCAAACUAGAGUACUGUAGAGGGGGUAGAAUUUCAGGUGUAGCGGUGAAAUGCGUAGAGAUCUGAAGGAAUACCGGUGGCGAAGGCGGCCCCCUGGACAGAUACUGACACUCAGAUGCGAAAGCGUGGGGAGCAAACAGGAUUAGAUACCCUGGGAG
Molecule: ribosomal RNA, 472 nt
Filed under: uncultured bacterium
Lineage: Bacteria
Description: bacterial SSU rRNA
Rfam family: Bacterial small subunit ribosomal RNA
Source: RNAcentral